Long non-coding RNA from Colossoma macropomum (tambaqui), 1085 nucleotides. RefSeq lists it as uncharacterized. Lineage: Eukaryota; Metazoa; Chordata; Actinopteri; Characiformes; Serrasalmidae. The record is from RefSeq and is a predicted model, not a curated record. The transcript is spliced from 3 exons.
AGAUGAUGAUGAAAGUUUAUAUCGCGGUCGUAUAGAACCAGUACCAGAAAAACCAGGAAGGCGGUGGAGUAGUCCAUAUGAGAUUCCAAACAUGUGAGGAGAGAAACAAUAGGAGAGAGAGGGACAGGAGAAGAAGAAGAAGAAGAAGAAGAAGAAGAAGAAGAAGGGAUGAGUGGAAUAUAGAGAGAUGAUUGGACGGCUGGUAGAGAAGAGAGAGCCUUUGUAUUGAGGAGACGGCUCUAGAGAUAAAAGAAAGAUUGAGUAGUUUAGAGAGAAGAAACGAGAGCAACAUGAACUAGAAUGAUCAUGUUAUUGCAUUACUGAUUUAACAUGCAUUCAUAUUCAUGUUUUACAUGUCAACAAUGUCAAUAUUAUAUGAACUACUGAAGGGUGUGAAAACUCAUACAUCACUGAUCCUCUGAAGAGAAUCUUUUAUCUGUAGUUCACAGGUAGAUUUGUAGUCAUUACAGGUAACGUCUGAUACAUGCUGGAUGUAUAACAUGUUGGAUAUUAAAGUACAGAAUAACUUGCAUAAGAACUACCAGGUAUGUACAGAAGUACUUGGUGCUACAGUACAAUAAUUACUCAGAGUUCAGUGUGUAAUUAUGUAAUAUUCAUAAAUAAUACUUGGUGAAUACCCUGCAAGAUGAAUAUAUAAGUACUUGGAGGCUAACAAGAGAAAUUGCAGUAUGCAUAAAUAUAAUUUGAAUAAAGAUAGGUUGUUUUAUUUUUCUUUAUUUAUUUCAUAUUUUUUCUUUAUUUUUAGAUAUUUUCUGUCUAUUUUAGUUACUUUUUCCUCAUGUUAAAUUGCAGAGCGCACCAUUGACUAAUCACAUAGCAUAUGUCUCCUUCAAUUAGGUGUUUCCUGACUUGUUUCCCGGUUCUUUUCCCUAGUGAGGGCACAAACAGCUACUUUUGUGGGUUUACAACACGAUGUCUAUUGUCCCCAGUAUAGGCACAAACAGCCACUUGUAUACCUCACAACAGGAUGCAUGUUGUCCUGACAUAAUCCUUAAAGAGGACCUGUUAUGCUUUUCUGUUUUUUCUCUUUCCUUUAGUGUGUUGUAUCUUUUUGUGCAUGUAAA